CUUUAAGAAUGUUUUUGAAGUACAAUGUAAUCAAAUAUGAUAAUAUGAAUAUUUUGAAUGAAAAGUUCUUGUUUGUGAAAUUAGUAUGUUCUUCAAAUAUGCACAACUUUAUCUACUUCACCUUAUCUUACUUGGGGAAUGGCUCUAUGUUGACUUGACAGGAACAUGGUUUCAGGACAGGCAGUCCGGCUGGACAACUUGACUCCCACGAACUAGAUGAGGUAACUGGAAUACAUCUUCUUCAUGCAAAUUUGAAGGGGAUGGUGAAUGGAGCAGUUGAGACGUGCAAAGAGAGCUUUCAUAGGUUUGAUACUUACCUCAAUUUCUCAAACCCAAAAAUCUCUGAAAAUUUUGAUCCACAAGCUUGUCGAUGGGCAUUUGGGAUGAACAUCUUUGACUUGAAGGAAUGGAA
Molecule: non-coding RNA, 412 nt
Organism: Phoenix dactylifera (date palm)
Lineage: Eukaryota; Viridiplantae; Streptophyta; Magnoliopsida; Arecales; Arecaceae
Source: RefSeq, a predicted model, not a curated record